RNAcentral lists this long non-coding RNA (5533 nucleotides) under Marmota monax (woodchuck). The record is from RNAcentral. Lineage: Eukaryota; Metazoa; Chordata; Mammalia; Rodentia; Sciuridae.
GCUGGAGCAUAUAUCCUCAGCAUCCUCUUUUCUGUGAAACCCAAGCAGCCGAGGCGUCCUUGUGCUCUGCUGCCUGGGGUGGUGGGGCUCUUAUCAAAGGAAGCAUCCCGUUUGGAUCAUGUAUUGUGUUGGUGGCUUUGAGUGUGAGUCUUUCAGCCAGUUCAGGUCUGAAUUCACAUUGGAGCUGGGAGCCCCCCCCCCCCCCGUGUGUGUGUGUGUGUGUGUGCGUGUGUGUGUGUGUGUAGCUGUUGGCUGUCUCUGGCCAGUGUCUGUCUCAUGAGGGAUUCAGUUCUUAGGUACUUCCUCUGCAGGACCCUGUAGCCUGGAAUUGGAGGUGCAUUUUGGAGAAGGUUCUCCUUUCCUCAGAAGCCUCAAAGUCCUGCAGAGUCCGCAGAAGCUAAUGAGCUAUUGGGAGGGCACUUCAGCUUCUUGGGACGUGUCAUAUGGGUGCAGUAACAUCUAGGUGUCCCUGGUCAGGUGUCUCCUAGUGUGUUUGGAAAUUGGGCAUGACAAUGAAUGUCUCAGGCAUCUCCAUAUCCAUUGGAUUCCCAGGGUGAUCUGCAGAGGAGGGACCUGUGGAAUUGGAAUCUGGGGCAGAGGGGACCUCCAUGUCACAAGGAGCUUGGAGUCUGUCGCUGGGAGCUCUGGGUCCUGGGGGCAGAAUGUCCUCAGCUUUUUCACAAGGACUGAGAGAGGUCUGGUGUGUACGUUUCUACCUGCAACGCCCACCUGCACAUGAAGGCUGCUGCCCUCGUGGUGGUCACUGUGUGUCUCUGGUGGCACUGCAGAAGGAAGAGGAGUGAGCUGGGCAAUGCAGUGGGUUCCCUUCCUGGACAGUGCUGCCUGACCAUCUGGGGCAGAUCUAGGGGAUAUAGUGUGGCAUGCAAAGGGUCCGGGCCUGGUUGUCUUCCAGACAGGAGCUGGGUGCUGCCUGGCCCCAAGAUGCUUACCACUUACUUGCACCACAUGACGGGGCCCUUGAUGGUGCCCGCCCCACACUAGGGUGGGUGUGGACCACUGUGACUUCGGGAGCUGCGGACUUAAAAUGAGGCAUGUACCUUUGCUGGGCUCUGAGUUCUAGCUCCGCCUCAGUUUGGCCUGCACCCUGUCUUGAGGGGUGGCUAGACUGAGGGCAGGGCAGGCUGGCUGCCCCUGAGUAUCAGGGCAGGGCAAGGUGGCAGUCCUGAGCUCCUGGCCCUCCUACCACUGCUGUUCUUCUUGUUCCCAAGUCCUCCCAGCCUGUGACUUCAGUCUGCCUCACUUCCCAUCUGUUAAAUGGGAUGGUGGAGCUGGCUCCUUCUUAGGGCCAUUGCCCAGGGCCAGCAGGCGGGGAGGGCUGGGGUGGGGGUUGCUCUGGAGCAAACAGCUGGUGUGCAUGGCACCUCCCCUGCUCUGGCCAGCUCCUGCAUCAGGUGCUGGUGGGAAGGUGUUCAGGUCAGUGGUUCUGAGCUGAGGGCGGGCAGCAUGGGAUCUCCCGGCAGUCCUGGCCGCUGAUCUUGCUGGAGGCGGUUGAGGGGCAGGUUAGAGAGGCAGGGCCUGGCACCCAACCAGGCAGGAUCCUUUCCUAGCUUUCUUUUACUGUAUGAGUGGGGCUCUUCAGGCCACCCUAGAGGGGAGCAACUAUAGUGAUUAUUCUUUGAUCCCACAGACCAGGGUGCUGGGUAGACUCCAGCCUGGCUCCAGAAAGUGCUGAGUGAGGGGAGUGUUGGUCCAUCUGAGUCUUGGUGCUCACCACGCCACUGCAGUGUUGCUGGGCCACCUGACUGGGGACAGUACCCCCUUCCCUCUCCAGGGCGCGUGUCUUCCUCUGUGUCCUUCUGGGGAGAAUAUCCUUCUGGGCUGUGGCUCUGUGGUCACCCCCACCCAUGCAGGGGCCCUUGAGUGCAGCAGGUGGCCGGGUGCAUGGCCACUGAGCUCUCCAGAGGGACGGGCCAGGGCCUGGCCUGCUGGGCCCCUGGCCAGGAGUCCUGGUUUCUCAGCAAGAGUGUGAAGGGACUCAAGUGUAAGGUGUCCGCCUGUCCUUGCUGUUGUGGCUAUGGUGGGGGGUCAGGGUCUGUGUUGAGGUGGACGUCCCUGCAGCAAAGGAACCUUCAAGGGCUGGCUGGCUCCCAGGUGGGCUGCUGCGGCCUGAGGAAAAAACCUGGAUCCAGAAAGUGGGGGGGUGGUUAGAGGAGAAGCAGGGGCCGCAGCUGCUGCCUGGGGAGCGCCUGCAUGCCUGGCCGUGGGACAGCCCCAUGGGUCCAGUGGAGCAGGGCACAUAGGAUGGGGCCAGGGCUGCCAGACAGGGCUGGGCAGCUGUUGCAAGGCAGGUGUGAUGUGGACCCGACAAGCAUGGGGCGCUGGCCAGGGGCGCCUAGACAGCAAGGGCCCUGCGCCUCUUACAUGGGAGAGUCUGUCCUGGACAGGGAGGCCCCGCCCAUGCUGACUGCCCGCCCUGGGGCCGCCUGGAGGCCCCUGGCCCUGGUUCCUGCCCUGGCUUGUGGAAGCAGUUGGCUCCGUCUGUCACUGAAGCUGGCCCUCCCUUAUGGAUCCAGUUUCCCGCAGCCUGAGGGCUGGCCCCAGGGUGGCCGCUCCAGGGGCACUCAUUCUGUCUGCCAGGGCAGAAGGCAGCAGUGCCUGUAGCAUGGCUGUGGAAUUCCCCGGAGGUGGCAUGGGCCUGGCGUCCUGGCUGGGUCGGCCUCACCCUUUGGCUCUCCCCACCCUGAGCCCCCCCUUCCUCACCUGGAACCCCAUGGGUGCCACACUAGGAUGGAGCAGCAUCGGCCACUCGGGAGUACAGGAGGCCAUCAGUAUGGGGUCCCCAGGACUGCCCCAGGGGUGUGAGAGAUACUGUGACAGGAGUCCUCAGGAGAAUGAUGACCCCAGGUAGAUGGAGAGAGCGGGCCACCCUCCCAUUGGAGGAGCUGGCCUCCUUGAAGGCUGUUUUGUGGCCAGUGGGGACAGUGGAUCUGAGCAAUAGGGGAGACCAGGGCCACUGAGAUCCAGAGGAACCACCCCGCCCAGCUUCCUUCCCACUCUGCUGCCCAUGAGCCUGCCCUUCUGGAGCUCUGCUGCCCUCUGGGGUGUGUGCACCCUUGGAGUGACUGGGGACACGUGCCCCUCCUCUGCACCCAUUGUCACAUCCACCCGUUCCUGAACACGCCCAGGGCUGUGUCUCUGCAGAUCCUCCAGUGCCCCAGGUGGGAGCCCCAUGAGCAUGCCCCCUGCCUGGCCCUGUAGGGUCCCUGCUCCCCAACCCCCACAUGGCUCCUGCAGCCUUCCCAUCUGUCUGCUGAAACACCCCAAAAGGGUCCCUGCUCUGGGGCCAGGUGAGGCUAGAGAUGCCACCUGCUGUCCUCCAGCUGGCCCAACCAGGGCCAGGGAGGUGCCCUCCAUGUUGGGUGAGUGGACAUUGUCCUUGCCUUGAAGCUGGGCUGUGGUGCUGGCCCUCAGUACCUGCUGCCCAGCAGUGUCCAGCUCCAAGAGGGGAUCCUGAGCUUACGGCAGGCAGUGUGGCAGGAGGAGGCCGGUGGGACUUACUACUGAGUUUUCGAGGGGUCUUCCAUGGGGUGAUCCCUGCUCCCGCUCCAUCUGUCCAGGCCCUGAAACAGCACUGGCCUCCUAGCUUUGCCGCUGGCCCUCUGUGAGCUCAGGGGGGCUGAAUUUCUGCUCGAGGUUCAGUCUUCAGCUCCUUUGGAGGAGGAAGGCAGAGCCUGGGCGUGGGGGCCCCACCCUUGCUGCUGGCUCCUGUGGCGUCCUGGCCCUGGGCCUCCCUGGUGCCCUCUGACCUGGGCUUUCUCUUGUGUUGGAGGACUUGCGGUCUGUCUGUUUCCGCUCUGUGGUUUCAGAUCCUCUGUCAAGGCUUUGCCUCUUGCGGACUUUCACCCACACUUGCGCAGUCCCCGUCGGCCCUGGUGGGAGCACCUGGGGGCCCUUACUAUGGACUGCAGGGGAGGCCUGGGAGAGAUAGGCCUCAGGAAGGGCCCCAGAGCCUCAGUUUCCCACUCUGAGAUGGGGUCCACCCCUGCUUCGCCAUGCCUGGCCAGAGCGGGCAUACCUCAUCUGCUUCUAGGCCCUGGUCUGCGAGGACCGCGGAGGAUGGGAGGGCUGCUGCUCCUGGUGGUACUGUUGGCGGGUACAGAGCCAGGGCUGCAUGGAGGGCAUGGCGCACCCAGCCCCUCUACGGGGUAGGUUUAGGCCAUGUCGGGAAGGCUGGCAUCCAGCCCUGCCACCACAGUUCCAGCUGGACCCUCUGCUCCCCCAGGAGAAGGGGCGUUUACCUAGAAGACCAGACCUCCCCCUGCUGCCCAUUCCCCAGCGGGCAGGUGGAAUACAGGGGAUAGUGGGCCUCAAGUGUGCCACUUGUGUCUGGGGUCCCUUUGGCGCCCUCUCCAGCACACCUCUGGCCAUGCCACAUAAGUCCCUCUCAUUGGCUCCAGCUGCUUGCAGGGAGCAAGGUCAUGGUCCCCAGGUCACCUAGUGGGGUGCAGGAAACUGAGCACGUGUGACAGGCAGGGGCAAGGAGAAGGCGCAUCAUCUUUCACAGGGUGCAGACCAGGAUGUAGAGGGUGCUCAGCCUCCAGAGCAGGGGAGCUCAUGGCCUGUCCUGCUUUGUCCAGACCCCGCUUGUUUUUAGCCCCCAUCAUGCAGCAAAUCCCAGACACAUCCCACUUACACACCUUCCACCGUGAGUCUCUUGAAAGGGCCUUUGAAAAACCAAAACCUUACAGGUGGCCGUGGCCCCUGUCUAUAAUCCCAACAACUCGGGACUGAGGCAGGAGGAUCGCAAGUUCUAGGCCAGCCUCACAAGUAAGUUAGGCCCUAAGCAACAGGAUGAGACUCUGGUCUCAAAAAAAUAAAAAGCACUAGGGAUGUGGCUCUGUGGUCAAGGCCCCCUGGGUUCAAUCCCUGGUAUUAAAGAAAAUCAUAACCUCAAUACCUUCACCUGAAUCUAUCAGCACCAGUUCCAAAAGGUGGUCAGGUACUUGGUCAGCAUUGGGGUCACUUCCUUGGCUCGCUCUCCAACAAGCAUUUCUAGCAAAUUAGCACCAGACUCAGGCUCCAGAAGCCCACAUGCUUCCCUGCAUCACCCCUUGGCCCUGGGCUCCAGGCCUGCUCUUGGUCACACUGGCCUGGUUUGUGGACUGUACAAUGGAGCCUGCCAGCCACCUGCCCUCACUCCCUCCCAGGGAUUCCCGGCUCUUCAUAGAAGCCAGCCCAGCCACGGUGGCCUUCCUUGCCACUAGGUCACUCUCUUGUAGGUCCCAAAGCUCUGGGAUGAAGUUUUCCCCCCUAAUUGUUCUGCAGUAAAACUUGUCCCCUCAGCAGAGGGAAGGCUGACCUUAGAGUGUUUGUUUUCCUGCUGAGGACUGUCUGGGAUGGGAGGUGACCUCGGGCCUGUGGGAGGUGUGCGUACAGGAGGGACACCCCUGCCCCAUGGAAUGCAGACCUGGCUGGUCAGGCUGAGGAGAGGCAAGCCAGCCAGGGCUUGGGCUGGGAGGGGGCAAGGGGUGAGGGCUGUCCUGGUCCACUGAGUGCAAUUCUGACCUUCCUG